GACGAACGCUGGCGGCGUGCUUAACACAUGCCAGUCGAACGGAAAGGCCCUGCUUUUGUGGGGUGCUCGAGUGGCGAACGGGUGAGUAACACGUGAGUAACCUGCCCUUGACUUUGGGAUAACUUCAGGAAACUGGGGCUAAUACCGGAUAGGAGCUCCUGCUGCAUGGUGGGGGUUGGAAAGUUUCGGCGGUUGGGGAUGGACUCGCGGCGUAUCAGCUUGUUGGUGGGGUAGUGGCUUACCAAGGCUUUGACGGGUAGCCGGCCUGAGAGGGUGACCGGCCCCAUUGGGACUGAGAUACGGCCCAGACUCCUACGGGAGGCAGCAGUGGGGAAUAUUGCACAAUGGGCGGAAGCCUGAUGCAGCAACGCCGCGUGCGGGAUGACGGCCUUCGGGUUGUAAACCGCUUUCGCCUGUGACGAAGCGUGAGUGACGGUAAUGGGUAAAGAAGCACCGGCUAACUACGUG
RNAcentral lists this ribosomal RNA (468 nucleotides) under uncultured bacterium. Its description in RNAcentral is "partial 16S ribosomal RNA". It matches the Rfam family "Bacterial small subunit ribosomal RNA", at positions 28 to 507 of the family's 1533-position model. The record is from RNAcentral.